GAUCGGGGACGGGGCCCCUCGCUCCCGACGCGUGCGUCGACUGGACGGACUGUUCCCAGUCCGCCUCCGACCGCGCCGCGUCGCCAGGGCGGGGACGGCCCUCGUACAGCAGGCGCUCGAGGUCCGCGGCGAGGUCGGCCACCCACCC
Molecule: ribosomal RNA, 148 nt
Filed under: Gobio gobio (gudgeon)
Lineage: Eukaryota; Metazoa; Chordata; Actinopteri; Cypriniformes; Gobionidae
Source: RNAcentral